CAAUAGCGUAUACUAACGUUGUUGCAGUUAAAAGCUCGUAGUUGGAUUUUUAAGGGCGGCUUUCACUAGGGACCUUUCGUGUCUCUAAUGUGGCAGACGCUUCUUAUUUUGCCUCAGAGCCUGGUUGGGAUUCAUUUCUUGAUCAAGCUUCCGGGGCGUGUUUACUUUGAGAAAAUUAGAGUGUUCAAAACAGUCUUGUGAUUGUAUAUCAUAGCAUGGAAUAAUGGAAUAGGACCUCGGUUCUAUUUUGUUGGUUUUCGGAACUUGAGGUAAUGAUUAAGAGGGACAGACGGGGGCAUUCGUAUGAUGGUGUUAGAGGUGAAAUUCUUGGAUCGCCGUCAGACGGACUACUGCGAAAGCAUUUGCCAAGAAUGUUUUCAUUAAUCAAGAACGAAAGUCAGAGGUUCGAAGAUGAUUAGAUACCGU
RNAcentral lists this ribosomal RNA (426 nucleotides) under uncultured eukaryote. RNAcentral describes it as "bacterial SSU rRNA". It matches the Rfam family "Eukaryotic small subunit ribosomal RNA", at positions 592 to 1018 of the family's 1831-position model. The record is from RNAcentral.